GACGAAGCCAUUGAGUUCGUGUUGAUUCGUUCUUCACUGGAGGGUUUCGGCUUCAUUCGCUGUCCUCGCACUUGCAGCCGUCGUCUACGAACGUCGAGUUGUCUCAUCUUCUUCUCCUCUUCCAACUGUGAGAUUCAAGUCGACGUCCACCUUCAUCUAUCGCUCAGAUCCGUUCUGCACGUCGUUGUUCAACUUAGUUCGUACACCACUGACUUUUCUCGCUGUGACUCGCAGUGGGUUUUUGGUGGUGUCAUUGUGAUAGUGUUUGAGUUCUUGGAUUUACGACAGGUUGGAUGGAGCUUAAUUUUCCAUUUACUUGGGUUUGUUUCAUUGGACCUUAGUUCGAACAAGAAGCUUAGGUAACCUUAAAGUAAGGGUUCCUACUAUUGGACUCAAUAAUGAAACUAAGAUGUAUUGACUGUAUGGAUUCCGCUGACUGAUGUGUAAAUUUAUAUCAGAUGACUGUUUGACUAUAUGAAUUUUACUAAACGGAGAUGGGUUGAUUGAUAUGUGAAAUUAGUUAUGGUGACUGAACUGAGGACAUUGAAUUGAUUAAAUUGUGGGUUGUUGACUGUUAUAUGUUAAUGCAUAGAUUGAAUUGAUUGAAUUGGUGAGUAACGCUUAUGUAUAAGUUUAAUUGUUUGAGGAACCGUUCUGAUAAUGUUUGAUUAUGUACUGGAUUGAGUAAUUUGACUGUAUAUAUGUUGAACUGAAAGAAUGACAUGAUGGUAGUUUAUGUUGUAAAUUGAGUUGACCGUUUUAAAUGUUAGGAUGGACUGAGGGGAAACUGUUAGCUUUAUUUAUAGUGUGCCUUGCAGGUGUCCCACG
Molecule: long non-coding RNA, 828 nt
Organism: Cucumis sativus (cucumber)
Lineage: Eukaryota; Viridiplantae; Streptophyta; Magnoliopsida; Cucurbitales; Cucurbitaceae
Exons: 3
Source: RefSeq, a predicted model, not a curated record